This 818-nucleotide non-coding RNA is filed under the name Drosophila sechellia. RNAcentral describes it as "Eukaryotic large subunit ribosomal RNA". It matches the Rfam family "Eukaryotic large subunit ribosomal RNA", at positions 1638 to 2400 of the family's 3401-position model. The record is from Rfam by way of RNAcentral. Lineage: Eukaryota; Metazoa; Arthropoda; Insecta; Diptera; Drosophilidae.
AUCCUGGCACAGGAACGACCAUAAAGAAGCCGUCGAGAGAUAUCGGAAGAGUUUUCUUUUCUGUUUUAUAGCCGUACUACCAUGGAAGUCUUUCGCAGAGAGAUAUGGUAGAUGGGCUAGAAGAGCAUGACAUAUACUGUUGUGUCGAUAUUUUCUCCUCGGACCUUGAAAAUUUAUGGUGGGGACACGCAAACUUCUCAACAGGCCGUACCAAUAUCCGCAGCUGGUCUCCAAGGUGAAGAGUCUCUAGUCGAUAGAAUAAUGUAGGUAAGGGAAGUCGGCAAAUUAGAUCCGUAACUUCGGGAUAAGGAUUGGCUCUGAAGAUUGAGAUAGUCGGGCUUGAUUGGGAAACAAUAACAUGGUUUAUGUGCUCGUUCUGGGUAAAUAGAGUUUCUAGCAUUUAUGUUAGUUACUUGUUCCCCGGAUAGUUUAGUUACGUAGCCAAUUGUGGAACUUUCUUGCUAAAAUUUUUAAGAAUACUAUUUGGGUUAAACCAAUUAGUUCUUAUCAAUUAUAACGAUUAUCAAUUAACAAUCAAUUCAGAACUGGCACGGACUUGGGGAAUCCGACUGUCUAAUUAAAACAAAGCAUUGUGAUGGCCCUAGCGGGUGUUGACACAAUGUGAUUUCUGCCCAGUGCUCUGAAUGUCAAAGUGAAGAAAUUCAAGUAAGCGCGGGUCAACGGCGGGAGUAACUAUGACUCUCUUAAGGUAGCCAAAUGCCUCGUCAUCUAAUUAGUGACGCGCAUGAAUGGAUUAACGAGAUUCCUACUGUCCCUAUCUACUCAGUGACGCGCAUGAAUGGAUUAACGACGGACGU